CACGAUGGGAGUCUCCUGCCUGCCUGUGUGUGUGUGUGUGUGUGUGGCUUUGCGUGUAAGAGAGUGUGUCAGGCUGUGGGUAUGAAGGUGAAAGCGACUGUCCUCCGUGUAACCCUAUGACGGGACUGUGUGUAUGAUGUGACACUUUUAGCAAUGUGAAAACGUGGGUGACCUCUGACUCGAAUGGUGUGUGUGUAGAAUUGGAUUGCUGGUAGCACUUUAUGACCAAGAGCUAGUGCGACUGUAGUCAACUUUCUGCUUGGCCUGAUGUGCAUGUGUGUGGCUGUCUUCAUGGCAGGGAGUGGAACUGGUUGUAGGAUUAGGUGUGGUUGUUGACCAAGAGGUUGUGCGGCUGUGGUUGUCUUUCUGCCUGUUGGUGUGUGUGUGUGUGUGUGCGUGCGCGUGGUGGACAGUGUGGCACUGGAUCAGUGAUAGGUGACUAUGAUUGACUUUUGAUUGUGUGUCACUGUGAUGGUGCAUGGGGCUGGGCGGAACUGUGUCCAGAAGUGGAGCUGUUUCAUGGGACGGUGCGCGUGGAACCUCGGGGUUGGAUGAGUGAGGUGUGGAGGUGUGUGAAGCCGUGUGUGUGUGUGUGUGUAGAGAGGAACUAGAGAGUGUGAUCGGCAUUGAUACCGUGGCUGGCAGUGGUGUGCAAUGGAGAGUUUGUGGGAGAUGGGAGUGGAGAUGUGGACAUUUAAGUGGGAUGCUCCUCCAAGCGGGUGACAGGAUGGAAAAGGGGGUACGCGUCAGGGAUCAGUGUGUGGGACUGUGCCUAUGAUUAUCAGCUGUGCGGUUGUGCACCCGGGGUUCUGUGUGAGUGUGGGAGCUGCUGUGUGUCUGGGACACAGCCCGAGUGCUGGAUGGCUGUGGUUGAGCCGUGUUUGUUGCUGUGGUUGUCAAUCUGGCUGUGGAGUGGUGUGUGUAAGGCUGUGUCUGAGGUUAUAGAGGGAGGUUUUACAUCGGCAAAAUUGUGUGAAGAAUGGUUGUGGUUGUCAGGAUGACUCUUGAACCUGUGUGGUUAUGAGUUCAACCAUUUAUGAUGUUUGUGUGUGAGGUGUGAGACUAGGUAUGGUGUGAUAUACACAAGCACACAGAUUGGCUGGGUGCAGUGGCUCAUACCUGUAAUCUCAACACUUUGGGAGGCUGAGGCGGCGGGGAUUGCUUGAACCCAGGAAUCCUAGACUAGCCUGGGCAAUAUGGUGAUACCCCGUCUCUACAAAAAACAAAAAUUAGCUGGGCAUAGUUUAGUUUUUUAAAAAUUAAAAAAAGGUUGGCUGGGCGCGGUAGCUCACGCCUGUAAUCCCAGCACUUUGGGAGGCCAAGGGGGGAGCGGGUGGAUCAUUUGAGGUCAGGAGUUUGAGACCAGCCCGGCCAACAUGGUGAAACCCCGUCUCUAAGAAAAAUACAAAAAUUAGCCAGGUGUGGUGGCGGGCACCUGUAAUCCCAGCUACUUGGGAGGGUGAGGGAGGAGAAUCGCUUGAACCUGGGGAGGUGGAGAUCGCAGUGAGCCAACAUCAUGCCAUUGCACUCCAGUCUGGGCAACAGAGUGAGACUCAGUCUCAAAAAAAUAAAAUUAAAUUUUUAAAAGGUUGAUAUAUACAUCACAUAUAUACACAUACAUAUAUCUAGAGAGAGGGAGAGAUCAAUGACCAUCAAGUCUGUGGUGCACAAAACGUACAGGACCCUUACUGUAUGUGAUCGUGCGUGUACAACACGUGCAAAAACCGCUGGGCUGCUUAUGGUGGAUGCAGUGGCUUGAGUGAAGUGUGCGAGAACGUGGCAUCCCUCCACGCGUAUUCACAGCUCUCUGUUCCGACAGUGGAGCUGAAUCUGAGUACUUGUGUGUGCAUGGCGUGUAAGUGUGGGAGUCCCUGCUGGCCAGGCCUGGAGUGGGAGGGAGAGGAAGUAGGGAAACUGGUGAGGGAUCCACAGUGAAUCUUGGGAGUGUGUGCAUCUGGAGGCUGAGUGCAGUGGCACUAUCAU
RNAcentral lists this long non-coding RNA (1983 nucleotides) under Pan troglodytes (chimpanzee). RNAcentral describes it as "long non-coding RNA NONPTRT008150". The record is from RNAcentral. Lineage: Eukaryota; Metazoa; Chordata; Mammalia; Primates; Hominidae.